RNAcentral lists this ribosomal RNA (449 nucleotides) under uncultured bacterium. RNAcentral describes it as "bacterial SSU rRNA". It matches the Rfam family "Bacterial small subunit ribosomal RNA", at positions 355 to 801 of the family's 1533-position model. The record is from RNAcentral.
UAGGGAAUAUUGGACAAUGGGCGAAAGCCUGAUCCAGCAAUGCCGCGUGCAGGAAGAAGGCGUUAUGCGUUGUAAACUGCUUUUUGCCAGGGGAUAAAAAGACCGUGCGCGGUUAAUUGAAGGUACCUGGUGAAUAAGCCACGGCUAACUACGUGCCAGCAGCCGCGGUAAUACGUAGGUGGCAAGCGUUGUCCGGAUUUAUUGGGUUUAAAGGGUGCGUAGGUGGCCCUGUAAGUCAGUGGUGAAAUAUCUCAGCUUAACUGAGAGGGUGCCAUUGAUACUGCAGGGCUUGAGUACAGAUGAGGUAGGCGGAAUUGACGGUGUAGCGGUGAAAUGCAUAGAUAUCGUCAAGAACACCGAUAGCGAAGGCAGCUUACCAAGCUGUAACUGACACUGAGGCACGAAAGUGUGGGGAUCAAACAGGAUUAGAUACCCCCGUAGUCCCUGAG